RNAcentral lists this ribosomal RNA (663 nucleotides) under uncultured bacterium. RNAcentral describes it as "bacterial SSU rRNA". It matches the Rfam family "Bacterial small subunit ribosomal RNA", at positions 1 to 663 of the family's 1533-position model. The record is from RNAcentral.
GGCUUAGAGUUUGAUCAUGGCUCAGGAUGAACGCUGGCGGCGUGCCUAACACAUGCAAGUCGAGCGAAGCGCUUAAAUUAGAUUUCUUCGGAAUGACGAUUUUUGUGACUGAGCGGCGGACGGGUGAGUAACGCGUGGGUAACCUGCCUCAUACAGGGGGAUAACAGUUAGAAAUGACUGCUAAUACCGCAUAAGACCCCAGCUUCGCAUGAAGCGGUGGUAAAAACUCCGGUGGUAUGAGAUGGACCCGCGUCUGAUUAGCUAGUUGGUAAGGUAACGGCUUACCAAGGCGACGAUCAGUAGCCGACCUGAGAGGGUGACCGGCCACAUUGGGACUGAGACACGGCCCAGACUCCUACGGGAGGCAGCAGUGGGGAAUAUUGCACAAUGGGGGAAACCCUGAUGCAGCGACGCCGCGUGAAGGAUGAAGUAUUUCGGUAUGUAAACUUCUAUCAGCAGGGAAGAAAGUGACGGUACCUGACUAAGAAGCCCCGGCUAACUACGUGCCAGCAGCCGCGGUAAUACGUAGGGGGCAAGCGUUAUCCGGAUUUACUGGGUGUAAAGGGAGCGUAGACGGGAUAGCAAGUCUGAAGUGAAAGCCCGGGGCUCAACCCCGGGACUGCUUUGGGAAACUGUUGACCUGGAGUGCUGGAGAGGCAAGUG